AGAGGACCCGGCCCGUGGAGCUGCACACCCCUGCCCGGGAUGGAGGUGAUGGUUCUCGCAGGAGUUUUGGGUGUCCCGUAGUUAAAUGCUGCUGAGACCACGCGGCUGCAAGGCCAUGCUCUGUUAAAACGAUUGCCGCAGACAGACUGCUGCUCCUGCUCUGGGCGAAUCUCAAAUGUAGCAUCAAUUGCUGAUUAUUUAUUUAUUUGUUUAUUUAGUGGGGGGUUUUUUGGUGUGUUUUUUUGUUUUGUUUUGUUUUGUUUUGUUUUGUUGUUGUUGUUGUUGUUUUUUUGUUUUUUUUUUUCUAUAGAGUAUCAGUUCUCCGGAGAAAUGGUCAGGAUCCUGCCAGCAGGGAUAUUUUUUCUCUCUGUGAGUUACCCUGUUGCUCUUCCCUUCUCUUCCCUCUGACUUGGGCAUCCAGCCAGGGUCACUCCACCACUCCUGGAAAUGUGACAGUGUAUGUGAGCCAGACUGAAUAAUGCACUUUGGGGAAAUGUUUUUAGAAGUAACUAAAAUGAUUGUAAAGGUUCUUAUUCUGAAGCUGCCACUUUUUUUCUUAGGCAUUUCUAACUUAAAAAGGCAGAAUGAGACAGCAGGUGUCACUGUAAUAGCAGCAAAAGCAGGAAGAGUAAAUCUGUAUCUCUCUUACCGCAUGUUAUUUUGUCUUUAUACAAUAUUCAUCAGAGAAGACGAUCAAAGGCAGCUUGGUCCUUGCCCUGGUCUCCUGACUGUAGAUUUAUCAAAAACGAGCUCAGCUUUUGUCAGUAUUAAGAAGCAUGAACAGGGUUUGGGAGACUUUAACACUGAGAGAUAAAGGACACAAUUAUCUUCCUUGUGGACUAGCAAAGGGACAGGAAGAGGGUAAUGAGCGCCAUAGACUGCAGCUGAGAAGAGAACCUAUCCAUGACGGGAAUUUUGCAGUGGAUUAUAAUACUUACUGAAGCACAGAUUAACCAGUAAACAUAGAAAACAACAGAGGAAACUUCAGAUUUCACGUAUCUUUAAAUUAAGGAGAAGAUUAAGUUAAAGUAUAGGUCUGACCAUCCUUGAGUUUCAAAACACUCUCACUAAUGUUGAGCUGAGGAAAACCUUCAGGAAUAUGCCUCUUUUUCUGAAGUUCAGGUAGUGGCAUAGCAUGUAAACUGUCAAAACAGCCAAGGAACUUUGAUGGACCAGCAUUGCAUGAAGCUAUGGAAAUUUCCAGGCUGAAACUCUGCAAGUAGUGACCCAAGUCACACCAAACACUCAGCUGCAGAGUGAGAACCAGUGAAGGGAAGCAACAAAUAUCUGCCUAGACUCCCAGCACUGUGAGAAUGUGAAGAGGAACACAGAUAUGCAUGUAUUUUCACCAUACUUUAUUGAAGAGAAGUAUUUUGUUUUUCCCUGAUUGCCCCAUAAUCACUCAUCAUGCAAUUCUAACAGGUAAUGUUUCUGCAGAUACAUGUUUUGGCAUCUUACUUAAUAUCCUCUCUUACGCAGGAAUUUGCUGAAACUAUGUUUUAAGACAGCUCUGCCCAUGAGAAAAUACUUGAAAAGAAAUUUGAGUACAAUGAAAACUAAGGGCUUUCCCUUGCUGUGGAAGGGAUUAAGUAUAGGGAGUUGUGUGAGUGUGAGAGAACCAAAUGUUUGCCAGUAACUAUACAAGGUUGCUUCAGUAUCACUGUUUGUGUAAGCAUGGUAUAUCCUGUGGCAGCAUAACAAUCAAGCCAAGGGUGCUUGUUGUUGUACAGAAAAAUCUUUAUUUCUGAGUGACCAAUUGAUAAGGACAUCUUCAGAAUACAAUCUGUCUCCUCCUUGGCCCAGUGUCCUUACAUCCUAGAGUAUAUCCAAAGAAAUGUAACUUUUCCUCUCCCUUAACACAUACAUGGUAUUUAUCAUAGUCUCCAUGGAUGGUAAUGCAUUAUCUUGGUUUGCCAUGGUUUAUUUUUGCUUCCCCACUUUUUUCCUGCUAGAAAUUCUGUGUAAGAUCAUUGUGCAACCUACCAAAUCCUUUAAAGCAACAGAAACCUACAGACUUUAAGACCAAUUCAUCAGUACAUGGUGAGGUUAAAGAGAACGUAGCCUUCCAGAAGAUUGCACUAACUUCACAGUUCGGUAAACCUAUCUGUGAUGGUAAUAAGAGAGAAAUGUAUGCAUAGAUCUGUGGAAGAGGCAGGAGACAGUCAUAGUGAAUGCUUGAAUAUGGAUACUUAUGUGAAACUCUAUAGUAUAAAAUAGUUUGUGCAAAUUACUAUGUGUAACAUACUUAUUCUCAAUAUACCUGUAAACAUGAAUCCCUUUUGCUUCAUCAAAAAAUCAUUGAUUGAAGCUCUGCAAAAAUCUGUAGAAAUCUGCAAAAAAUCUGCAAAAGUCUGCAAAAAUGGAAAAGAACCGCUGGGGACCUAAUAGUUCUGAGGUUUGUGCAAAAGUCUUCACUUUGAUCUGCAUCAAAGCUGCUGCUUCAAAGUUAUUUCUAAGGGACAGAGACUGAAAUUGGAAAAGGAAUAGAAAGUAGUGCAUGAGCCUAAUGUAUUAUAGAGUCUCUGGUUUUUCUGACUGCUUGGUUUUUGUGCUGCAAUGAAUGCAAGAUGACAAACAGGGAGUAAAUCAGCUGUAAUUAAGUAGCAAUGGUAGCAAUGCAUUUGAUUUGGCUGUUUAUAUUGUUUAUCUUUUAGACAGUUUGCUAUAGAAUCUACCCAGAGAAAAACUAGGAAUAUUCUCUUUGAGUAGAAAAGAAAGAGAAAUGGAGGAGAAAGGGGAAUAGUCAAGGAGGAAAUAUUAAUCAAAGCAGGAAUCUAUAAUAAACAUCAAUGUUAGAAUGUUUUUAAUGUGAUAUGACAUCUGGUGUUUAUUUAAUUAAUGAACUCCUAUGAAGACACAGUUCUUACCAAAAAGACUUCAUAAUAUUAACAUAAUUUUAUUCAGUGGGCUUAGUUGCUAUGAUUUAACUAUUCUGUCUUCAGUUACAGGGUACUUAUGUGUAUGUAAACAAGAUUCUGCUUUAUUCAGGUUUGAUCUAAGUACAAGUACUUCUGAGGUUUCCUAAAUAAUUUGCAGACCUGUUGCCUAAAAAAAGAAGUACAAGGGAAGUGAUAUUAAGCUGCUUCUCUACCUGCCUGACUUGCUUUCCAACACUGCCUGACAAACUUGGGUGAUUACUACAGCUGAGAUGAAGGCCAUCUGGAUUGUAUUUCUGCCUUCUUAUAAAACACUUAAAAAAAAUAAAAAAAUAGAAGGUCUGCUGAAGUGUUCAGGCAGGAAACAUUAUCCCAUUUCCUAUGCAAAUAUCUCAGUUAAGUUUAGAGAAGUUCUGUGUCAAAGUUUGCAAUAAAAAUUACAAUAUGAACAGAGUAAAAAUUUGAAAAUUUUUUCUACUACCAAAAGAAAUUUUGUAGAAACUGAUUUAAAGAAUCAGCAGUAUUUUGAAAUUAUGUUGUCCAAUCAUAUUUCUAAAAUUGGAAGUGCAGAAGACUAUAAACAGAAAAUUUCUGUCUUAAAGACAGUAAUAAGUCUACAGACUAAUUCUGUGAGAUGUAUUCUAUUAUUUUUUGAAGAAAUUCAGGCAGGUCAAUAUCUUUGGUCAUGUUUUGUGCAUGCAAAAAAUGAUACAACCUCACUAGUGAAGAAAAACAAGAGACAUCCAGUUCACCUUUUGAAUCCAGGACUAUUAACUUUGUGGAAAAUAUGUGGAAAUUAAUAAAGGUAAGGAAUAAAAAUACAGGAAUUACUGUUUCCUUAUAUUUUACAAACUUUAUUCUUCCAGAAAACCAAAGCUUUAAAUUCAGAAAAUGCUUAUAUUGAUUCUCUAUUAUUAAUGUUUUCAUGCCCAGCAUAAGUGGAAGAAAAUAAUUACAAGCUUUGUUGCCAAGAAUGAACUUCUGCAGAAUCUAGGAACAAAAAUGGACCCUAACUUUGUAUCUAUCUGGAUACAUAUUUAAAUAUAGUAGCUAGUGAGACAAAGGUAACUGAAGAGAGGAAUAGAUUAGCACAGAGUCAUCAUUAGUCAAGGAACCAUCAUAAAAGCCUGUCCUGGGAUGAUGUUAUGAUGCUUGUAUCCCCAACUGUGUGUUCUAUUUAUGCUUUAUAUUAAAUUCUGCACCUUUAAGACUGGCUCUGAGAGUGAAGGGGGGGAAAGAAGAAGCGCACAGUUUGUGUCCAGAAAUGGCACUCACUCCCCUGCAUCCUGCUCCUGGACUGUGCUGUCUGCAGCACGGACAGACAGUGGGACUGAGCUCUCCUUUGCUGUUAGUUAGUUUUCAGCAAGCUGAGACAGGGAAGUUCCCCAGAAUGUUUUUUCUUUUUUUUCUUGGAUCUGUUCAUUCUCUGGACUGAAAACCCAGACAAACCCCGAGA
Long non-coding RNA from Parus major (Great Tit), 4332 nucleotides. RefSeq lists it as uncharacterized. Lineage: Eukaryota; Metazoa; Chordata; Aves; Passeriformes; Paridae. The transcript has 5 exons. The record is from RefSeq and is a predicted model, not a curated record.